GGCUUAGAGUUUGAUCCUGGCUCAGGACGAACGCUGGCGGCGUGCUUAACACAUGCAAGUCUACGAGAAAGAGGUAGCAAUAUCUCAAGUAAAGUGGCGCAAGGGUGAGUAAUAUGUAAGUAAUCUACCUAUGGGUUCGGAAUAACGUCGAGAAAUCGGCGCUAAUACCGAAUGACGCAGCGGCAUCGCAUGAUGAUGUUGUUAAAGUUGUCCCGACUUGUCGGGAUAACUCCUAUAGAUGAGCUUGCAUCUGAUUAGCUAGUUGGUAGGGUAAAUGCCUACCAAGGCUACGAUCAGUAGCUGGUCUGAGAGGAUGAUCAGCCACACUGGAACUGAGACACGGUCCAGACUCCUACGGGAGGCAGCAGUGAGGAAUAUUGGGCAAUGGACGGAAGUCUGACCCAGCAACAGCCGCGUGGAGGAUGAAUGCCGUAAGGUUGUAAACUCCUUUUGAAGGGGACGAAAAGCCAAAUUUCGUAAGUAAUUUGGGUUGA
This 494-nucleotide ribosomal RNA is filed under the name uncultured bacterium. RNAcentral's name for it is "SSU rRNA". It matches the Rfam family "Bacterial small subunit ribosomal RNA", at positions 1 to 472 of the family's 1533-position model. The record is from RNAcentral.